RNAcentral lists this non-coding RNA (129 nucleotides) under unclassified sequences. RNAcentral's name for it is "EFASI RNA". It matches the Rfam family "EFASI RNA". The record is from Rfam by way of RNAcentral.
AAUGACCGAUACCCAUGACUGGUCACCAAAACCAGUGGGGAUUACCUAUUGAUAGGCUGCUGUAUUGAGUACAUUACCGCCCCCCUCAUACCUCAACAAUGUUUCGCACUGGUGCAUAGGUAUCGUUUA